RNAcentral lists this long non-coding RNA (1829 nucleotides) under Homo sapiens (human). Its description in RNAcentral is "HSALNT0296129". Lineage: Eukaryota; Metazoa; Chordata; Mammalia; Primates; Hominidae. The record is from RNAcentral.
AGUUUCAGGAGGGAAGAGCUCGGCUGCACGUGGGCUCAGGUCGCCCCCUCGUGGACCUCUGCACAGCCAAGCGUGGAAAGGCCGGUGGGCCGCUUCCCGCCGCCAGCAAGAGGGGCAGCAGGGUCCGGCUCGCGCUCCAGGGCUGCGGGAGCUGGCCCCUUGCCAGGCUACUGCAGGACUGGAAAUACCUGUCUGCAUUGGCGAGCUCCCAAAUCUUGCCCAGGCGCCUCCCACCGUGUGCAGCUGAGGAAGGCUGUGCUCUGAGCGUGGGGUUGCCAAGUCAGCUCCCAAGGCAGCUCUGGCACCAACGACCCAGAGAAACAGGCCCAGAGGGGAGAAACGACAGAUAUCCUGACACGGGAGAUUGAAAGGGAGGAAUGAAAUACAAGAUCACUUACUGGACCCAUGCAGGGUGCCAGACCCUGGACUAGAUGCUUUAUAACUCUUGUGUAACCUUCACAGAAACCCUGCGAAGUAAGUAGAGCUCCCUUUGACUAAUGAGAAAACUGAGGCUCAGGGAGAUGAAGUAACUUGGCCCAAGCUUUCCCAACUAGGUUAUGGCAGAGCUGGAUUGAGACCCAACCCAAACUUCAUCAAACCUACUCCCUUGGAGGCUUCGCCCUCAGACACAAAGAUAUCUUGCAUAUCUUGCCCCUCAGAGAUUCCACCUCCUCAGCCUGGUGAUGCUGUAGGGAUGCUGGGUCGGCUUAAGCAACAUUGCCUGUCCAGGUCCUUCCCAUUCAGUUGGCUCCCUUGGAAGCCUUCCAUGAAAGCAACGUGCUGAUCUCAUCCCAAUCCGAAGUACUAAGACUCAAACUGAGUGCACCAGGCAUCAGACUCACAGAAUCACUGCUGCAGCAUCAUGAGAGAACCUCCAGGAUGGGCCUAAGCACUACUUGGCCCCAGAAUCCCUGGCACAUCAUUUCUCCAUGUAGUCAUCCAAGCCCCUAUCUCAUUACAUCCUGGGCCAGGAAGCUCAGCACUACUGUUGUACCCAUUCCAUCCUUAGUAAGCUCUGCCUGCUGGACAGUUCUUCCAGGUGUAAAGGUUUUAGUGCUUUUGGGUGACUGAGAUGGAAGGGAAGAGGCAGGAGCAGUGGGCCAGUCUCUCCCACCAUCCCUCCUGCAAAUAGUCCCAAAGUAGCAGCUUUUCAACAAUGCAUUUCAACAUAAUACCCUGAUCUAUUGAUAAGACUAUAAUGGAAACAUGUUAAUGAAUGCAGCAUGGAAGCAAGGCUAGAAGAAAUGGUAAAAGAGUGAAGCGGGUUUUUUGUUUGUUUGUUUUUUUGUUUUGACAGAGUCUCACUCUAUCGCCCAGGCUGGAGUGCAGUGGUGCAAUCUCGGCUCACUGCAACCUCCACCUCCCGGGUUCAAGCGAUUCUCCUGCUUCAGCCUCCCAAGCAGCUGUGAUUACAGGCGGCCACCACCAUGCCUGGCUAAUUUUUGUAUUUUUAGUAGAGAUGGGGUUUCACCAUCUUGACCAGGCUGGUCUUGAACUCCUGACCUCAUGAUCCACCCACCUCGGCCUCCCAAAAUGCUGGGAUUACAGGUGUGAGCCACUGCCCCCGGCCGAGCCAAGUGUUUUUUAGUCUUUGGAUCUUUACCAAUCAUUGGGAAGGAUCUCCCUCCCCGCUGUUAGAAUUGGCCACACCUUUGAUCUAAACUGCUGUCUCCAGUGGUUUCUUGAGGAUAAACUAAUCUCAUUUAGACAUUAAAAUAACUUUCUGUUAAAUGACAUUUAAAAUGGUUUUCAAUUUUUAAAAGUUUAUGAUAUGGCCUUUUUUUUCUGGAAACUUAUUUUGUGACUUUUAUUGUUAUUGCCAUUUUUUG